This is a long non-coding RNA of Chelonia mydas (Green sea turtle), 2207 nucleotides long. RefSeq lists it as uncharacterized. The transcript is spliced from 3 exons. The record is from RefSeq and is a predicted model, not a curated record. Lineage: Eukaryota; Metazoa; Chordata; Testudines; Cheloniidae.
CUAAUUAACCCAUUAAGUAGCUGAUUAAGGAGGCUCAGGUAUAGGCAGGGCCUAUAAAGCCCAGGAGUUGAAAAAGAAGGGGAUAGUGAGUGGAGACUGCAGUCACUCCUUGGGAAGAGGGAUCCUGAGAUUCUGAGGAUAACCUAUGCAACAAUGCUAUAAGAACAAGGAUUGUUCUUACUGGAGAAAAGGUGUUUAAGAGGGGAUAUGUUAGAAGUCUUCAGGAUGUACAAGGGAUACCAUGAGAACAUGUGGAUAAGAUAUUUGAAUGGAAUCGGUGAUAAACCAAAGGACUCAGGAAGAAAGUGGUCAGAGACAUGGCCUAAAAAUAAGUAAACUAUAUUUGAAAAGAGCUUUGUUUGAGACACAGUUUUAAUACAGAGGGUUGUAAAUUUUACCUUCAAAGGUCAGAGAAGUUGAAACAACUCAGUCUAGUUCCUCUUUCAACACUGCUAAUACUUGAAAGAAAAUAUCUGGCCACAAGGUGGUUGACAUUUUAAUCAAUGCUUUUGUCACAUCAAGAACUAACAAUUGUAAUUUUUAUCUGUAGAUCUUCCAGUUAUUUUCUAUUCAUACAAUGUUCAAAAAUUAUAUUGCCUAUAUGGAUUAAGUCUGCCUAUCCUAUCUUUAUGUUAAAAGUUUCUUCUGUAUCUAGUAAUGGGUUCAUUUUAAUAAUUUUGUACUUGCUGUGUAAGGCUUAUUUGACAUAACUCCCACUUUGUAUAAGAUGUUCUGCUUUCUUACCCACCAGGACACUCCUUGUUUUUCAGCUUGCAAAAGGAUUUGUGGAUUGUAUGUUUUUUGCGUUAUUUGGCUCUUUGGCUCAUCCUGAAAGUGACUGAGCUAUCUUGGAACUCAAUUCCACUAAAAUUCAAGCUCUUAAGGGUGAAUUCUGACUGCAGAUACAAAAUAAGUUGUUUUAGUUAAUUUAAGUUGCCCCGGUACCAAGCACCAUUCAAAACCUUUAAACAAAAUACACAGCAACAUAUCACUAUUUUUUUUUUUCAUAAAGCCAUUUACUAUGAAUGCAUCCACAAGUAGCAGCCACUAGAAGAUGUAUGUGACAUACAUACGCACACCAUUCUAAAUGUAUUCUUAAUAUAGUAUUGGAACAAAACCCACAACAAUAACCCUGUAGUCAAAUUCUGAAUUCUUGGCUCAGUUUUUAGUUUGUUUUGAGACAAAACUCCCAUUUAAUUUCAACAAGAGUUUUGCCUGAGAGAGAAUUCAUGAUUAUAUUACUACUCAGUUUUAGCCAACACAAUAAGAUCAAUGGAGAGUUUUUAUACAGGACUGUCCUAUUUUCCAAAAUACAGAUGAUCUAGGCUACUAUUAACAUACAUAAAUGUAAUCAGUGUUCCCAACAAAUUUUUUUAGAUUCCUUCAUGUCACUUUUGGGAUGAGAUGAUCUUAAUGCAAGCAACAAGGUCCAAAACUUUACUAAUUUAUAAAAAAACCAACAUAUACAUUUUCCCCACAUUUUUGGAAAUUUACAUGAUAUUACAAAAGAUUUACACCAGAUGAAAAUUUGAUUCCUACCAUCACAGAUAAUUGCCUUUUUAGCAAGAUGGCUGCCACUAGAAACAGGCUAAGAAAUGCCAGCUGUAAUUUAAAUUUUAAAUUACAGUGGAUAUAGAAUCUCAUAGAGGGUUUCACAACACUAGAUGUUUGAUUCCCCUGGAAUACACUUGCUUUUCCUUCAAUUCACUUGAGAAACCCACAUAGUCUGUGAAGUCUACCUGCACAUUCAUAUACCAUGUUGUUCAUUACUAUUUGUAUUGUACUUAUUUAUGCCUUUAAAUUAUAAACUCUUUGCUGGGGAAAGUUUUUUGCUGUUGUAUACAGUGUCUUAUCUGUUAAAGGAGAGCCAUAGGUAUAUAUUAAGUUUAAGGAAUAGAAAUCUGUUUUAGCUGCUGAUGGACCAGGGAUCUAGUUCUAGUGUUGUGUGAAUGUGACUAUGUUGUGAUUGCAUCUAUUGUCUGAAAACAGAUUCUUUACUCCAGAUUUCCAUGCAGAUCUACCAAUGCUCUUCAAUUCUGAACUGUAGCAUCCUUUGCUAUUCCAGUCCCACCUCCACAUUCUUAUUCUACAGCAUUCUGUAAUGCACCCUAGCUUCAACCCCAACCAGUUCAUCCAAAAUACUGCUGCCAAACCAUCUGUCUUUUCCACUGUGUCACUCCCCUCCGAAGAGACAUCACGGGAUACCU